This 421-nucleotide ribosomal RNA is filed under the name Staphylococcus aureus. RNAcentral describes it as "partial 23S ribosomal RNA". It matches the Rfam family "Bacterial large subunit ribosomal RNA", at positions 948 to 1374 of the family's 2925-position model. Lineage: Bacteria; Bacillati; Bacillota; Bacilli; Caryophanales; Staphylococcaceae. The record is from RNAcentral.
GACAAACUCCGAAUGCCAAUUAAUUUAACUUGGGAGUCAGAACAUGGGUGAUAAGGUCCGUGUUCGAAAGGGAAACAGCCCAGACCACCAGCUAAGGUCCCAAAAUAUAUGUUAAGUGGAAAAGGAUGUGGCGUUGCCCAGACAACUAGGAUGUUGGCUUAGAAGCAGCCAUCAUUUAAAGAGUGCGUAAUAGCUCACUAGUCGAGUGACACUGCGCCGAAAAUGUACCGGGGCUAAACAUAUUACCGAAGCUGUGGAUUGUCCUUUGGACAAUGGUAGGAGAGCGUUCUAAGGGCGUUGAAGCAUGAUCGUAAGGACAUGUGGAGCGCUUAGAAGUGAGAAUGCCGGUGUGAGUAGCGAAAGACGGGUGAGAAUCCCGUCCACCGAUUGACUAAGGUUUCCAGAGGAAGGCUCGUCCGCU